UGUCCCAUUGAAUGGUAGUCCAACAGAUCCUUUGUUGAUGCCUAGCUCAGGGUCCUUUGUUCCUGAGAGGCUGGGCUGGAUUUGUCCCAUACAUGCCAUGAUGAGGUGUGAACUGCCCCUCUGUUCUUGGAGAGUUUUGCCUGGGCUUGUUUUAAGCCAUGAAGACACGUUUUCAGACUCAUAACUAUAUACAUGA
Long non-coding RNA from Chelonia mydas (Green sea turtle), 196 nucleotides. RefSeq lists it as uncharacterized. The record is from RefSeq and is a predicted model, not a curated record. Lineage: Eukaryota; Metazoa; Chordata; Testudines; Cheloniidae. The transcript is spliced from 3 exons.